This 228-nucleotide long non-coding RNA is filed under the name Mustela putorius furo (domestic ferret). RNAcentral's name for it is "lncRNA (ENSMPUG00000031413.1)". Lineage: Eukaryota; Metazoa; Chordata; Mammalia; Carnivora; Mustelidae. The record is from RNAcentral.
AAACUGGUGACCCCUUAGGAACCACAUUAACUGAGGCCUCAUGGAGAAAGGGGACUCAGCUGGAAGGAGAGAGGACCACGUGGUCUGAGAACCCCAGUCUCCAGUGAUGAAAAUCCAACCCCACAGACAUUCCUGCCCAACACCUCAGACAAGGGAGGAGCUAAAGGUUUGUUUGGGUUUUUUUUAAGAUUUUAUUUAUUUAUUUGAUAGACAGAGAUCACAAGUAGG